UUCGUAGUGACCUGCGGAAGGUCAUUA
This 27-nucleotide ribosomal RNA is filed under the name Lactifluus glaucescens. RNAcentral describes it as "partial 18S ribosomal RNA". Lineage: Eukaryota; Fungi; Basidiomycota; Agaricomycetes; Russulales; Russulaceae. The record is from RNAcentral.